UACGUAGGGUGCAGGCGUUAAUCGGAAUUACUGGGCGUAAGGCGUGCGCAGGCGGCUCCUUAAGUCAGAUGUGAAAUCCCCAGGCUUAACCUGGGAACUGCAUCCGAUACUGGAUGGCUUGAAUUCGGGAGAGGGAUGCAGAAUUCCAGGUGUAGCGGUGAAAUGCGUAGAUAUCUGGAGGAAUACCGGUGGCGAAGGCGGCAUCCUGGACCGACAUUGACGCUGAACGGCGAAAGCUAGGGGAGCAAACGGG
RNAcentral lists this ribosomal RNA (253 nucleotides) under uncultured bacterium. RNAcentral describes it as "partial 16S ribosomal RNA". It matches the Rfam family "Bacterial small subunit ribosomal RNA", at positions 524 to 776 of the family's 1533-position model. The record is from RNAcentral.